This 918-nucleotide unclassified non-coding RNA is filed under the name Zea mays. RNAcentral's name for it is "misc RNA Zm00001eb381120". The record is from RNAcentral. Lineage: Eukaryota; Viridiplantae; Streptophyta; Magnoliopsida; Poales; Poaceae.
GGCAAGCGCCAGGGCGCAGGAAGCAGGGACUCGGCAAUCAGGAGCCAUGACCAACGCAGGGGCGAGCACCAGAGGAAAAACAGCGGCAGCUGAAAGUGGUGGACACGGCCAUUGCGGAAGGCAGAAAUCCGAGCAGGGACAUACGCCAUGAGCCAAGUGGAGGACGAGCAGAGAGGGAAAGAAAAAUAGGGACACGACACGGGCAGGGAGCACCAGGGACGACCAGGCGGCACGCGCGCAUCCAGCUCCACAGAAACGACAUGACGAGGAAGGAACUCAGUGCCAUGACGAGCUGCAGCAGGGAGCCACGAUGAGCGCAGGGAGAUGGGCGCCGAGCACCAUUGGGGAUGGGGCGUGCGCGUCCCUGCGACCAGAGGGAGAGCCACGGCCACAGGAGCGCGAGCACAGGGGCGCCAGGGGAAGACGCGCAGGGGAAUCGAACGGAGUUGGGGAGAAUGAAGAUCCGGGCGUGCCGCCAUGGGCAAGUGUAAGGGCAGCAGGCCGAGCGUGCACCAGAGAAGGGCGACGGCGGCCAGCGCCAUGACGAGCAGACGCGCGGCGCUGGGCGCGCAGGGAGGAAGACAUGCCAGGGAGCUGCACGGGUCUGGCGGAAUCCGAGCAGGGAGGGAGAGGAUCUGGGCACGCGCUAGGGAGCCGAGCAGGAAGAGCUGCCAUGGGAGAAGCUCCUGCGCGCAGAGAGGAGAACCGAGCUUGAAGGAGCGCCAUGGCUGGAACCAGGGGCGCGGUUUGGGAGAGCUCAGGGAGAGAGGUGAAUUGGAGAUGGAGACUGAUCAGGGAACGACUUUAGGAGAAUUCCAGCGCGGUGGAGAAGAUAUUUGGAGGGAGGGCAGCGAGAUUUCUUUCUCCACGAACCUGCGCGGCGCAGGGAUAAGUCCCACGGAGAAGAAAAGAUUAGGG